Molecule: ribosomal RNA, 269 nt
Filed under: uncultured Planctomycetales bacterium
Lineage: Bacteria; Pseudomonadati; Planctomycetota; Planctomycetia; Planctomycetales
Description: partial 16S ribosomal RNA
Rfam family: Bacterial small subunit ribosomal RNA
Source: RNAcentral
GAGCACGUAGGUGGGUUUGUAAGUCAGAUGUGAAAGCCUUCUGUUCAACGGAAGAAUUGCAUCUGAAACUACGAGUCUUGAGUGUAGGAGGGGAGAAUGGAACUUCUGGUGGGGCGGUGAAAUGCGUAGAUAUCAGAAGGAACGCCGGCGGCGAAAGCGAUUCUCUGGCCUAUUACUGACACUCAGUGUGCGAAAGCUAGGGGAGCAAACGGGAUUAGAUACCCCGGUAGUCCUAGCCGUAAACGAUGGGCACUAAGUAGAGGGGUUUU